This 355-nucleotide unclassified non-coding RNA is filed under the name Hevea brasiliensis (rubber tree). The record is from RNAcentral. Lineage: Eukaryota; Viridiplantae; Streptophyta; Magnoliopsida; Malpighiales; Euphorbiaceae.
GUAGGGUUUUGAUGCCAUCAUUAUUCUUUUAUUCUUUGCUAUCAUUCUCAAUCCUUAAGUGUCCUCUUAGGACAUAAGGUAAGUCUUCUUCUCAUCUAGGAUUCAUUUUAGUUUGGGAGCAAGAUUUUAAUUUUUCUAGUGCCUUAUGGUUUGUCGUCGAGGGUUUUGCUAGAUGAAGAUCGAUCUCUCUUAUAUAGGGUUUUCUUUGGAGAAUUGGGGUUUCUUAUUUGUUCUUGAAUCUCAUUAUUUGGUCACCAUUUCUGGAGGAGUUUUAUUUUUGCAAUUGCGUUUUCUGUGAUCUUGAAAAAGUUUGUUUCUAAAGAGAUCAUCCAUUCAGUUUUUCACUUUUUUUUUU